UGAUCCUCUGCCAAAGCCUGGACCUUUCU
This 29-nucleotide non-coding RNA is filed under the name Rattus norvegicus (Norway rat). Lineage: Eukaryota; Metazoa; Chordata; Mammalia; Rodentia; Muridae. The record is from RNAcentral.